Non-coding RNA from Arachis ipaensis, 3322 nucleotides. The record is from RefSeq and is a predicted model, not a curated record. NCBI's taxonomy places the organism in Eukaryota, Viridiplantae, Streptophyta, Magnoliopsida, Fabales, Fabaceae.
UUUCUUACAGGGAUGAGGAGUCGGAUGCUAUUAUGUAUUAUACUCUCGCUAGUACAGCGAUCUUACAUCUGAAGCCCUUAAAUAACUUGAACAUUCUUGAAAAUCAAGCUGUUAUUGACAACUCGAGGAUUGCUUCGCUGCUUGCACUUUUCAUGUCAGAUCAUUUUGGAACAGCAAUAGAAGUGCUAUUGUAGAAAGGACACGGAAGUCUGUGUCUGCUUCAAAGUACAAGAAGCCUUAUGUAUGUGCUCAACUGGGAGCAGCACUGAUAUAAGUGUAUCUGCUAGAUAAGUUGUUGAUACCAUAGAGAAUAUUACUCUCUCCAACAUCUCAUAGUUCCAAUUAGAGCUGAGCAGUUCGGUGGUGCAGACAUAAAACCUGCUUUUCAAGGUAUCAUUGUUGUGUUUAUUCCAAAUUUUUGUACGUAAACCUUUCUGCUGGAACUCUUCCAUUACCUAUCAUAUGAUCUGAUACAAUUCUAUUGUUUUGAAGUAUUUAUGCGAUCACAUUGAGGCCCCUAUAUCUUAUGAGAUUUUAAGAGAUUACAUGGAUUUUUUAGCACGUGCAUGGAAUAUCAUCCUCAUUAAGAGGGGGUGAUAUAUGCAUCAGGAUGCUUGCUGAUGCUUGUAGUUGUAGACCACAUGAUAUAAGAGAAUAGAAUGAUCCUGAGUGCUUUUGCAGGUGUAUACCUCUUUGUCGAAUCAAAAUUCCUCUUUCAACUGGAGGAAAUCUUGAUCUUGGUUGUUCCUUUCCAUCUUUCUCUGCUUGUGUCAAAUUCAACUACUUUAGUUAGGUGAAGGUAUGUUACCGAAGUCCUGCUGGAGGUUGAAUCUUGUGCCAAGAGUGUGAUUUUUUUUUAAUCACUCUAGUUGAUUAGUGGGUGGUUUUGGGAGGUGGAUUAUUUGCUUAUUCAGUCGCUAACUCAUUUAUUUCCUGUUUCAGAUAUAGGUGUUCUUUUCCCACUAGUUAUUUAAAUUGUGUUAGUGUAGUUUCAUAUACAUGUUUUUGCAUGAUACUGAAGGUGCGUACUUUGGAAGUUCAGGAUAGUUCAGCCUACAGGAUAAAAAAUUUGGUAACAUAACUUUUUGGGAGAAGCAAGAGUUCUAGGUACUCUGGACCACCCUUGCAUAGUAGAAAUUGAUGGACACCAAAUUCUUGCCCAUUGGAAACUCUCUGCGGAUGAGGAUGUCAAGCGUAGUGUUUUUUUAUGAAUGUGGAUGGAGGGUCCUUAAAAGUAAGAUUUCUUAUAGCAAUUGCUAUUAAUACUGACAUAUUGUCUGUUGUUUAACUAAAUUUUUGCACUUUUUUAACUAUUUUUUUUUUUUAAAUCCCCCUAACAGAACUAUCUCAAGAAGCUAUCAGAAGCGGGUAAAAUAUUGGAUUUGGCUUUAUAUAAAGACGUUAUUUGUGCUCUGUCCCAGCUGCACUCAAGGCAUAUAUUUUUGCUUUUUGGUUUGAAAUGUGCAUAGUUGUAUGAAUGUUGAUGCAACAUAAAAAACAAUUUUGUAUUUUGUGACGGCACAGCACUGACUCGUGUUGUCACAUAGAAGCUAACAUUUGGUCAUUUGGAUGUUCACUCCUUGAGAUGCUGACUCUGCAAAAUUCCAUAUUAUACACAAGAUAUUCUACAAGAUGCAACCACUUAACCGUGUUAACUAGGCUAUAUCUUAGGUUGGGUGUCCCUUGUUCUCUCAAAAUUUAUUCCUCAAUCGGGUGGUAUCAUUAGAAUCAUGAUAUAUGCAUUCUUUUUCAUUUUCAUUGUAAGUAUUAGGCCUUAAUGUUAGGCCUUAACAGUCUAUGAGUAGAUGAUAGAAACACAAACUUGCUACUUGCUAGUAUUGCUUAAGAGAAUCAUGGAAAAUCAUACCUUAAAAGCCCUACAUUCCUAUUUCCUAAUAAGCUAAGUCAUCCAGUUUUUAUUGCCAGGAUUCAAUAAUGAGUGUGUAUUUGAGUUAGCUAAUUUUAGAGAUACCCGCAAAAUGUCAUUUUCCAGAUCGCGAGGUCUUUGGCAAGUAACUUUAAGAAGAGCAGUGAUUUGCUUUUCGUUCAACCUUUUUGUAUAAUGUUGCUUCUCAACAAUUUUGCAAGCCUGGGGAAUGAGAAGCAGGUAAUAAUAAUGAAUCUAACUAUCAGCAAGAAGAUUGGUUACUUCAAUAUCCAUAAACUUUCCUACCUCCAUAGGUAAAUAGUUUGCCUUCUUUUGGUUUCCAACUUGUAGACAAUGAAGGUGACUGUAUUUAAUAGUGAAACCAUACAUCUCUGAAAAAUAUUCAACAACUGAUUUCAUAGUCGAGUUCUCAUCAACAUGAAGCCUAUAAAGAUAUAACGUCCUUAUAAAGAGAACUGUUGAAAAGAGGAUUUUCUUUUUUUGAAAUUAUUGUAGGACAGUACCAGAAGGAAAAAAUAACUACACUUGUUCUCUUGUUAACCAUCUUAUAGUAGCUCCCUAAAUUGUACAUCAUUAACAUUAAAGAAAAUAGUUUGAACAAACUGUGUUUAUAGAGUACCUUAAUGCGAACAGCAUCAGACAAUUGCCUUGACAGUAAAUCUUUUCCUAGCAGCUGGGCAGCAUACUCCACUACCGGAAGAGGUUCAAUAAAUGCAGCAGAAGCCAUAUCUUGGAAACACAGAAGAGAGUAGAGAGAAAUUUCAUGUUGAAUUGGAGUUGAAUAAGAAACUGAAUUCUAGGGUGAGUACAAUGUCAGAAUUUGGAGUGCCUCACGUGGAGCAUUAGCACGCUUACCAGCAAGAAACUGGGCCAAGUAGAAAAGUGGUACAAAUUUCCCCUAGCAGCAAACUUGAUCACCACUUGUAUGCUUUAUUAAUUAAUUUCUUAGGUACCUCUGUUUCUCUAAUCAUUUUCUAUGAAGAAUCAAGUUCCACGAAACUAAUCGCUGAUGUUAGUAUCAGUUUGCUUGAUAAUUGAUAUGCUAAAAAUAAAGGUGACUCUUCAAUGCAAGCCACGUUAUGGAUACAUUAUUAUAGUCAUCAUGCACAAAGAGGGGCUCGAGAUUUUUUUUUUUAUAUAUUUUGUUAUAAAAGUACUUAAAUUUACUCAUUCUCAUGUUUUUAUUUUCCUAGCCAAAACAAUCACAAAUUUUACAAUUUCCAAUUGGCAAAACACACAUUCAUAAUAGUAAAGUAGACGAGCAUAAAACACAUAUCUAAUCGGUAAGAAGGCUGAUUUGUGUAGCUUAAAUUAAAAAUAUGCAGGCAUUACAAAGUGCAUAUCAAUUCUCAACUCUCAAGAUUUUCCGUUUGUGCUUCUCACAAUAUCUUCUUUCAAUCACUGCUAGAAUCAUCCAUAGUCCUUAAAAGUAAC